RNAcentral lists this long non-coding RNA (4246 nucleotides) under Homo sapiens (human). Its description in RNAcentral is "HSALNT0250304". The record is from RNAcentral. Lineage: Eukaryota; Metazoa; Chordata; Mammalia; Primates; Hominidae.
CUAUCAUGUGGGUGGAUCUGUAAAUCACAUACAAUGGAAGUAAAAGGAUGAUUCAGUGUGAAGGUGCCAAGUGGAAUGCAGAUCUAUGUGCUGCAUGGAACAGGAGCUGCCUAAGCUGCACCAAGCUCAGCCAUGUGCCAGAAUCAAGGCCUGAGCAGGCUCUCUGAGCUUUAUUGUCAACUUUAAAUGAUAAGAUAACAGCAGCUUCCUAGAAGAUUGCUUUAAGAAUUGCAGAUUAAUCAUCCAUGAGUGAUGAAAGACAGAUACCAACAAAUGAAAUUAGACUCUCUCUGACUAUCCUCAGAUCAGAAACUCUUGAGACAUGCAGCAUUUUGGGAGGACCAAGUAGGAGCCAGACAUGGAGAGAGAAGAGAGAGUGAAAGGAAGUAGCAUCAACAGCAGAACUAACUUAAACCUAAGAAUCAACUGACAAGAGAUUGAGCUGAUUAUUCAUCACCCUCAGGAACCUCAUUUAACCUUUCUGAGCUUCAUUGUAUUAACUUAAGCUCUUCAACACAGCUACCUUUUGGGUUAUAUGCUCACCCUUAAACCAAUUACUGGUAAAUGUAAUGGAAUUACUACACUUCGUUUUUGGACUUUUUUUUUUUUUUUUUUUGAGACUGAGUCUCACUCUGUCGCCCAGGCUGGAGUGCAGUGGCACGAUCUCGGCUCUCUGCAGCAUCCGCCUCCUGGGUUCACGCCAUUCUCCUGCCUCAGCCUCCCGAGUAGCUGGGACUACAGGCGCCCGCCACCAUGACCGGCUAAUUUUUUGUAUUUAGUAGAGACAGGGUUUCACCAUGUUAGCCAGGAUGUUCUCGAUCUCCUGACCUCGUGAUCCGCCCGCCUCAGCCUUCCAAAGGGCUGGGAUUACAGGCGUGAGCCACCUCACCCAGCCUUUUUUUUUUUCACUCUCUCUCCCAGUCUGGAGUGCAAUGGUGCCGUCUUGACUCACCGCAACUUCCGACUCCCGGGUUCAAGCGAUUCUUCUGCCUCAGCGUCCCGAGCAGCUGGGAUUACAGGCGCCCACCACCACGCCCGGCUAAUUUUUGUAUUUUCAGUAGAGACAAGGUUUCACCACGUUGGCCAGGCUGGUCUCGACCUCAGAUGAUCCACCUGCUUCAGCCUCCCAAAGUGCUGGGAUUGCAGGCAUGAGCCACCGCGACCAGCCUACACUUGAGAUAGAACUUGAGAUAGGCUGGGCACAGUGGCUCACACUUGUAAACUCAGCACUUUGGGAGGCCGAGGUCAGAGGAUUGCUUGAGCACAGGAGUUUGAAACCAGCCUGGGCAACACAGUGAGACCUCAUCUCUACAAAUAAUCAUAAUAAUAAUUUUUUACAAAAGCCGCAUGUGGUUGCAUACACCUGUGGUCCCAGCUUAUUUGGGACACUGAGGUAGGAUUGUUUGAGCUCAGGCGAUCAAAGUUGCAGUUAGCUGUGAUCAUACCACUGUACUCCAGCCUGGGUAAUACAGUGAGACCUGGUCCAAAAAAAAAAAAAAAAAAAAAAAAAGGAACUUAGAAUAGUGUUAGCUUCCCUGAGGGGUGGGUAGUUGAAUACAAGUUAAAUUAUUUUGAUAAACUGGGAUAGAAAAAUGAAUAUUGGGAUUAGCAAGCAAUAGUGACUGCUCUAGAAGUGAAAUGUCUUUAUUAAAAUGGGAUUUUUGAGGUUUUCCUGAUGAACUUGCUUCUAAGAUGUGGUCUGCAAUCUGAAACAUUAUCUCUUUUUUUCCCUGCAAUAACACUUGAAUCUUGACACCGUGCUUUGGAGGUGUUGGAUUUAAUCUCUCAUGAUUAUUCUUAAUGGAUAAAUUUCAAAAUCUUUACUUUUUCUCCUCUACAAUUAUAAAAGGCAAAAGAAGUAUCAUUCAACCUAGAGAAAAGACCUACAUUUCAUUAAGUUGGAAACUAAAACUGCACAUUAACAAUCUCAAAACUCCGUAAUUUUAGAGAAACAAGUGAUCAUAGGUGCUAUCAUGCUAUGCAGACAUCUUAGGUGUGAAUUUUCAUAGCAGGUGAAUUUGGGACUUGGGGAAUCUCUGCUAUGGUUCUUGUAUGACCAUGGUCAGUGGUAAAAGUUAACAACAGUCUACCACUGCAUUGCACAGGCAAGACCACAAAGGCCUUGGAUUCUGAACAACCAGGGGUUUGUCUCACACCAUUAUACUAAGAGUUAUAGCCAACUGGGGUUCUGGGUGAAAGCCAAAGACUAUAAGAAUAUGCCACAGAGAAAAUAAGAGACAAACAACAACAACAACAACAAAAAAACUGCUAAACUGUUGUGAAGUAGAAAAAGGACUUCAGAUUUCAUCUGUGCCUGGUUAUUACUGCCAUUGUUCAUAAGUGUUUGCAUGUGUUCUAAUUAUCCUCUCUUCACUAACUGUAUUGGUAACUCAAUUUACUAUGUAGUCCAUAGCUUAUAGAUGAUCUGGUAACAUCUGGGUGGAAUUAUGAUGGAAUUAGAGGAAAAAUAUACAACAUAUGGAGACUGUGGAUUCCAAGACAAACAGCAUUUAAAGGAGCCUGUGAUAUUCUCUGUGGAUAUAGUAACCAGAGAUGCCUUUGAAUUCCAUCCUUAUUGGAAGGCAAUAAUUGUGUGUAGGUUUGAUCAUUUUAGAUAGGCACAUCCUUGAAACUAUGCAUAUAGAAAGAUAGCAACCAAUGACACAAAGGGCACUGUAUCUACAUUAAUACUUGAGGAAGGAUAGGUGAGUUAGACAGCUGGGAGAGCUAAACAGCGGAUGCAAACUGGGGUUGUUGUAGGCAAAUUAGCACCUUUGGUCAGCCAAGCUAUACCCAAUAUCUGUUUCUUUGUGAACCUGCAUUAUCCACAAACCAAUGCUUAUGAAAUAAGUAGUGAAGUAUCCUAUAGGCAGAGUUGGCCACUGAUUAGAUCAGGAUCAGAUGCUUUUGUUAUUGAAAGGUAACCAAGCCAUACUUUCCAUGAUGAACAAUAACAUGUUCAGCCAUAAAUGACUCUACUCAGUAAAGUUAAUAGUAAUUAAAUAAGCCAACCAAACUAGCUUCUUCUGCAAUUUGGACUGAAAAUAUGGAGAAUUUUGAAUAGACAGGAAAUAAGCAUAAAUACAAAUGAAGGCACAAUGGGAAAAUUUAUUUGCCUACCUCACUCGAGGGAUGGGAAUUGUGUUGGAGAUAGGAUCAAGAAUGGGCUGAUAAUUAUGACUUCUCUUAAGUGGCCUCCCUGAUAAAUAAGAACAAAGAAAUGCAGUGAGUUCAUAUUUUAAUGGGACCAAAUAAAAAAAAUUCUACAAACAACCUCCUGGAUAAAAAUGGUGGCAUUAAAAUAGCUGCAUUAAUUUGGAUAUAUCAAAAUGCCCUGAGUGAUACUUUAUUCUACAGUUUAGCAAGAGACUCCUUGGGAUAAGUAACUCAAUCCAGGAUGAGAUACAGAAUAUUGAUGAGAUAUUGACACCACAUUUAGAAAAUACAUGUAUUUAUGUAUCUCUGUUUGUAUGUUUAUGUGCAUAUAUACACUAAUUCUUUUAGCAAGUAGAUAUGGAGAGAAUAUUACUUGCUUUCAUAGCAUGCUUCCAGGAGUUUCAGAGAAUACGCCUCUGAAGAAAGAGAAAUUAUGUCCUCUGACCUCUUUUCUUAGGGCUGUUUGGAAAGAGAGCACACACAUCAUAAAGAAGAGUUCAAGGUAAACCUAGACAAGUGAGUGGAUUUGAAGCCAUCAUAUCAUACAAUCAGAGAAUCUUAGGUUUUGAAUGAAAUGUGAAGAUAUAUUUCAAAUGAAUAAUUGGAAGAGUGAAUGAAAGAACUAAUGAAUCUAAUAGAAACCCUACUGAUUGCCUACAUACAAUGAUUGCCAUGAAUUGUUAUUUACUUUUCUAUGUAUACUAAUUAACACAUCUGCACCAUUCUCUCAGUGUGUGCAUAUCUUGUGUAUAGGAGGUAGUUAAGAAGUUCUCAGUAUAACUUUAUUAAAUUUACACCCUCAGAAAAUGUCUGCCAAAUGGGGAGAAAUGUGUAUUCAUUUUGCUUUCACCAACGAGCUAGUAAAGACUUGCUGAAUGUUUCAUGAAUGAUAAAAGUGCAAGAUAAUAUAGGAUAAAAUGUAUACCAGGCAUAAACACUAAAGGUGAAAAAGAUCUGUAAAUUUAGAAAAACAUCAUCUGUACAAUAAGCAUCUUUUAGAGAGUCAUGAUGUCUCAUGGAGAGCUAUCUUUCUGGUUGAUAUAGUCCUAGUACAGACAAAAAAUUGUAUUUUCACAAAAUAAAAUGUGCA